This 397-nucleotide ribosomal RNA is filed under the name uncultured bacterium. Its description in RNAcentral is "partial 16S ribosomal RNA". It matches the Rfam family "Bacterial small subunit ribosomal RNA", at positions 523 to 918 of the family's 1533-position model. The record is from RNAcentral.
AUACGUAGGGGGCGAGCGUUGUCCGGAAUGAUUGGGCGUAAAGGGCGCGUAGGCGGCUUUGCAAGUCAGUAGUGGAAGUCCAUUUUUCAAGGAUGGAAGUGCUACAGAAACUGCGGAGCUUGAGUGCAGGAGAGGUUAUCGGAAUUCCCGGUGUAGCGGUGAAAUGCGUAGAGAUCGGGAAGAACACCAGUGGCGAAGGCGGGUAACUGGACUGCAACUGACGCUGAGGCGCGAAAGUGUGGGGCGCAAACAGGAUUAGAUACCCUGGUAGUCCACACUGUAAACGAUGAAUGCUAGGUGUAGGAGGUAUCGACCCCUUCUGUGCCGCAGUAAACACAGUAAGCAUUCCGCCUGGGGAGUACGGUCGCAAGAUUAAAACUCAAAGGAAUUGACGGGG